RNAcentral lists this ribosomal RNA (432 nucleotides) under uncultured bacterium. RNAcentral describes it as "partial 16S ribosomal RNA". It matches the Rfam family "Bacterial small subunit ribosomal RNA", at positions 338 to 795 of the family's 1533-position model. The record is from RNAcentral.
CCUACGGGGGGCAGCAGUCGAGAAUUUUUCUCAAUGGGGGAAACCCUGAAGGAGCGACGCCGCGUGGAGGAUGAAGGUCUUCGGAUCGUAAACUCCUGUCAUUUGGGAACUAGUACCAGAAGAGGAAGAGACGGCUAACUCUGUGCCAGCAGCCGCGGUAAUACAGAGGUCUCAACCGUUGUUCGGAUUCAUUGGGCGUAAAGGGUGCGUAGGCGGUCGUGUAAGUCGGAUGUGAAAUCUCAGGGCUCAACCCUGAAACUGCAUUCGAUACUGCAUGGCUAGGGUACUGGAGAGGAGAUUGGAAUUUACGGUGUAGCAGUGAAAUGCGUAGAUAUCGUAAGGAAGACCAGUGGCGAAGGCGAAUCUCUGGACAGUACCGACGCUGAGGCACGAAGGUCAGGGGAGCAAACGGGAUUAGAUACCCUAGUAGUC